This 274-nucleotide ribosomal RNA is filed under the name uncultured bacterium. RNAcentral's name for it is "partial 16S ribosomal RNA". It matches the Rfam family "Bacterial small subunit ribosomal RNA", at positions 523 to 796 of the family's 1533-position model. The record is from RNAcentral.
AUACGGAGGGUGCAAGCGUUACUCGGAAUCACUGGGCGUAAAGGACGCGUAGGCGGGAUGCCAAGUCUGAUGUGAAAUCCUAUGGCUCAACCAUAGAACUGCAUUGGAAACUGGUAACCUAGAGUAUGGGAGGGGGAGAUGGAAUUAGUGGUGUAGGGGUAAAAUCCGUAGAUAUCACUAGGAAUACCGAAAGCGAAGGCGAUCUCCUGGAACAUUACUGACGCUAAGGCGUGAAAGCGUGGGGAGCAAACAGGAUUAGAAACCCCGGUAGUCC